Molecule: ribosomal RNA, 495 nt
Filed under: Salmonella enterica subsp. enterica serovar Anatum
Lineage: Bacteria; Pseudomonadati; Pseudomonadota; Gammaproteobacteria; Enterobacterales; Enterobacteriaceae
Description: partial 23S ribosomal RNA
Rfam family: Bacterial large subunit ribosomal RNA
Source: RNAcentral
GGCGUGCCUUUUGCAGAAUGAACCGGCGAGUUACGAUUGCAUGCGAGGUUAAGCUGAAGAAGCGGAGCCGUAGCGAAAGCGAGUCUGAAUAGGGCGAGUGAGUAUGUAGUCGUAGACCCGAAACCAUGUGACCUACCCAUGUCCAGGUUGAAGGUGCGGUAAAACGCACUGGAGGACCGAACCCACGUACGUUGAAAAGUGCGGGGAUGAGGUGUGGGUAGCGGAGAAAUUCCAAACGAACUUGGAGAUAGCUGGUUCUCUCCGAAAUAGCUUUAGGGCUAGCCUCGGAAUUAAGAAUGAUGGAGGUAGAGCACUGUUUGGACUAGGGGCCCGUCUUGGGUUACCGAAUUCAGAUAAACUCCGAAUGCCAUUCAUUUAUGUCCGGGAGUCAGACAGUGAGUGAUAAGAUCCAUUGUCGAAAGGGAAACAGCCCAGACCACCAGCUAAGGUCCCAAAAUAUAUGUUAAGUGGAAAAGGAUGUGAGGGUGCACAAAC